AAAGAACCCCGGCGAGGGGAGUGAAAAAGAACCUGAAACCGUGUACGUACAAGCAGUGGGAGCCCCACCACCAAAGCAUUCUCUGGUGUUGAAGGCCCUGCAAAGCAGCAUCGCGGUGGCGGAGCGUCGUUUGCGACGCCCAACACACAAAACAAGCGGUGAGUGCUUUGGGGUGGGGUGACUGCGUACCUUUUGUAUAAUGGGUCAGCGACUUAUAUUCUGUAGCAAGGUUAACCGAAUAGGGGAGCCGGAGGGAAACCGAGUCUUAAUUGGGCGUUAAGUUGCAGGGUAUAGACCCGAAACCCGGUGAUCUAGCCAUGGGCAGGUUGAAGGUUGGGUAACACUAACUGGAGGACCGAACCGACUAAUGUUGAAAAAUUAGCGGAUGACCUGUGGCUGGGGGUGAAAGGCCAAUCAAACCGGGAGAUAGCUGGUUCUCCCCGAAAGCUAUUUAGGUAGCGCCUCGUGAAUUCAUCUCCGGGGGUAGAGCACUGUUUCGGCUAGGGGGCCAUCCCGGCUUACCAACCCGAUGCAAACUGCGAAUACCGGAGAAUGUUAUCACGGGAGACACACGGCGGGUGCUAACGUCCGUCGUGAAGAGGGAAACAACCCAGACCGCCAGCUAAGGUCCCAAAGUCAUGGUUAAGUGGGAAACGAUGUGGGAAGGCCCAGACAGCCAGGAUGUUGGCUUAGAAGCAGCCAUCAUUUAAAGAAAGCGUAAUAGCUCACUGGUCGAGUCGGCCUGCGCGGAAGAUGUAACGGGGCUAAACCAUGCACCGAAGCUGCGGCAGCGACACUCAGGUGUUGUUGGGUAGGGGAGCGUUCUGUAAGCCUGUGAAGGUGGCCUGUGAGGG
RNAcentral lists this ribosomal RNA (854 nucleotides) under Salmonella enterica subsp. enterica serovar Virchow. RNAcentral describes it as "partial 23S ribosomal RNA". It matches the Rfam family "Bacterial large subunit ribosomal RNA", at positions 518 to 1269 of the family's 2925-position model. The record is from RNAcentral. Lineage: Bacteria; Pseudomonadati; Pseudomonadota; Gammaproteobacteria; Enterobacterales; Enterobacteriaceae.